Patellaria atrata CBS 101060 is the source of this 102-nucleotide non-coding RNA. Lineage: Eukaryota; Fungi; Ascomycota; Dothideomycetes; Patellariales; Patellariaceae. The record is from the annotation of a GenBank genome assembly.
UCCAUUGUGGUCUAGUGGCUAGGAUUUGUCGCUCUCAGAAUUCAGCUAUACGACUGAUUUCAGGGCCCCGACAAGGCCGGGGUUCAAUUCCCCGCAAUGGAA